GACGAACGCUGGCGGCGUGCUUAACACAUGCAAGUCGAACGGAAAGGCCCUGCUUUUGUGGGGUGCUCGAGUGGCGAACGGGGGAGUAACACGUGAGUAACCUGCCCUUGACUUUGGGAUAACUUCAGGAAACUGGGGCUAAUACCGGAUAGGAGCUCCUGCUGCAUGGUGGGGGUUGGAAAGUUUCGGCGGUGGGGGAUGGACUCGCGGGUUAUCAGCUGGUUGGUGGGGUAGUGGCUUACCAAGGCUUUGACGGGUAGGCGGCCUGAGAGGGUGACCGGCCACCAUGGGCCUGAGAGACGGACCAGACGCGUACGUGAGGCAGCAGUCGGGAGUAUUGCGCAGUGGGCGGAAGCCUGAUGCAGAGACCCCGCGUUCGGGAUGCCCGCCUACGGGUUGUAAACCGCUUUCGCCUGUGACGAAGCGUGAUUGACGGUAAUGGGUCAAGAAGCACCGGCUAACUACGUG
This 468-nucleotide ribosomal RNA is filed under the name uncultured bacterium. RNAcentral's name for it is "partial 16S ribosomal RNA". It matches the Rfam family "Bacterial small subunit ribosomal RNA", at positions 28 to 507 of the family's 1533-position model. The record is from RNAcentral.